Long non-coding RNA from Gymnogyps californianus (California condor), 402 nucleotides. RefSeq lists it as uncharacterized. Lineage: Eukaryota; Metazoa; Chordata; Aves; Accipitriformes; Cathartidae. The record is from RefSeq and is a predicted model, not a curated record. The transcript is spliced from 4 exons.
GAGCACCUAUUGGAACAGUCCCUUGUGGUCAGGCAGUUUUUCUUCUGCGUGGGAGUAGCUGCCUUUGCUCUCCUAGGCGUCUUUCAUCCAAGGCAUCCAAAGCACUUCAUACAACCCAGUGUAUUAAGCAUGGCAACAUGUCUGCAAGUGCCAGCUACCUAUUAGUAGGACACAGUAUAAUCUUGUAGUGAGCAAGGAGAUGCUUAAAGGACAAUUUUCUCCUCUUAAGACCUAUGCAAGAAAAGUAUUUUCAGCACUGUUACAUAAUUGUAUUUCUGGAGUCAAGACACAACAACCCAGCAAACAAAUGAAGCGGCUUCACCCACCUCCUCUAGCUCUGCUCUGCUACUGACCACAGAAAGGCGGUUUGUAAUCCUUAUCAGUUAGUCCAGUCACCAUCCC